GUCCACGCCCUAAACGAUGUCAACUAGGUGUUGGGAGGGUAAAACCUUUUAGUACCGGAGCUAACGCGUGAAGUUGACCGCCUGGGGAGUACGGCCGCAAGGUUAAAACUCAAAGGAAUUGACGGGGACCCGGCACAAGCGGUGGAUGAUGUGGAUUAAUUCGAUGCAACGCGAAAAACCUUAACCUACCCUUGACAUGUCCAGAAGCCUGAAGAGAUUUGGGUGUGCUCGAAAGAGAACUGGAACACAGGUGCUGCAUGGCUGUCGU
RNAcentral lists this ribosomal RNA (268 nucleotides) under uncultured bacterium. RNAcentral's name for it is "partial 16S ribosomal RNA". It matches the Rfam family "Bacterial small subunit ribosomal RNA", at positions 793 to 1055 of the family's 1533-position model. The record is from RNAcentral.